This 229-nucleotide long non-coding RNA is filed under the name Solanum tuberosum (potato). RNAcentral's name for it is "long non-coding RNA (STUB_LNC008398)". Lineage: Eukaryota; Viridiplantae; Streptophyta; Magnoliopsida; Solanales; Solanaceae. The record is from RNAcentral.
CAGCUAGCUCAAUUUUGCGGGGAAAGAUGAUCAUCAUACACUGAAGCUUCAAUUUUGGGGAAGGUGACAAUUGCUUAUUCUUCUAAAACAUUCUUAUUAUUUGCUUAAACUUUUGUUCUCUUAACUUUGUAAGGUUUGAAGUGGUACUAAAUUGUUUAGUUCUUAGUUGUAGGUUGUCCCAUGGUAUUGGUGAUUAAUUGAUUAUUAUAUUUCACGUUUCUAUGUCUAG